GAUCGAACCACCGGUCCCGUUACAGUACGGGAGAGCAAAGAAAGAUAUCGUGAUAGAGAGCCACGACGCGGUGUUCCAAGUGAAACAAGGGGAGAUGCUGUUCGGGUUCCAACCAUUUGCAACGAAAGACCCGAAAAUAUUCGAGAGAGCGGAGGAGUUUGUGGGGGAGAGGUUCAUGGGAGAGGAGGGGGAGAAGUUGUUGAAGCACGUGAUAUGGUCAAAUGGACCCGAGACUCAGCAACCGACGUUGGGGAACAAACAGUGUGCAGGGAAGGAUUUCGUGGUGUUGAUGUCGAGGCUUUUGGUGGUGGAAUUGUUUAGACGUUACGACUCGUUUGAUAUCGAAGUGGGUAAGUC
RNAcentral lists this long non-coding RNA (357 nucleotides) under Gossypium barbadense (sea-island cotton). RNAcentral describes it as "long non-coding RNA (GBAR_LNC004032)". The record is from RNAcentral. Lineage: Eukaryota; Viridiplantae; Streptophyta; Magnoliopsida; Malvales; Malvaceae.